CUGAAUUAUACAUUAAUAGGAUUUCUAGAUAAGAAUAACCAGGAAGUGAAAAUUCCUCAAUCCACGGACUGUCAGAUUUCGAGGAUUCUGGUGGAGAAUGAAGGUUGAAUCAAAUUUUCAUGGAAAAUGCAGGAAGAAAAUAAAGGAAUAGUUGGAUAUGUUCACAUCAACGAUGUUUUCCUGAAUGAUUUCACCAUUUAUUCUCUUGAGAUGAAAAUGGACUUCUUCAGUAAGAUCCGCUCUGCCACCUGGAGACCUGCUGCAAGUAAUCCUCUGGGACCUGCUUUCUACAAGGGGAUCUUGAAGGCUGGUUCUUCUCCCAAGGACACAUUCCUGAGGCUCCCGG
Molecule: long non-coding RNA, 346 nt
Organism: Ochotona curzoniae (black-lipped pika)
Lineage: Eukaryota; Metazoa; Chordata; Mammalia; Lagomorpha; Ochotonidae
Exons: 4
Source: RefSeq, a predicted model, not a curated record